RNAcentral lists this ribosomal RNA (430 nucleotides) under Pseudomonadota bacterium. RNAcentral describes it as "Proteobacteria bacterium partial 16S ribosomal RNA". It matches the Rfam family "Bacterial small subunit ribosomal RNA", at positions 355 to 776 of the family's 1533-position model. The record is from RNAcentral. Lineage: Bacteria; Pseudomonadati; Pseudomonadota.
UGGGGAAUAUUGGACAAUGGGCGGAAGCCUGAUCCAGCCAUGCCGCGUGUGUGAAGAAGGCCUUUUGGUUGUAAAGCACUUUAAGCGAGGAGGAGGCUACUAGUACUAAUACUACUGGAUAGUGGACGUUACUCGCAGAAUAAGCACCGGCUAACUCUGUGCCAGCAGCCGCGGUAAUACAGAGGGUGCAAGCGUUAAUCGGAAUUACUGGGCGUAAAGCGCGCGUAGGUGGUUCGUUAAGUUGAAUGUGAAAGCCCCGGGCUCAACCUGGGAACUGCAUCCAAAACUGGCGAGCUAGAGUAGGGCAGAGGGUGGUGGAAUUUCCUGUGUAGCGGUGAAAUGCGUAGAUAUAGGAAGGAACACCAGUGGCGAAGGCGACCACCUGGGCUCAUACUGACACUGAGGUGCGAAAGCGUGGGGAGCAAACAGG